Molecule: non-coding RNA, 70 nt
Organism: Podarcis lilfordi (Lilford's wall lizard)
Lineage: Eukaryota; Metazoa; Chordata; Lepidosauria; Squamata; Lacertidae
Source: the annotation of a GenBank genome assembly
GACCAUAGCUCAGUGGUAGAGCAUCUGCUUUGCAUGCAGAAGGUUGCAGGUUCAAUCCCUGGAAUCUCCA